UCAAGAAUAUUAGUCAAUGCUCGCAAGAAUUACCUAGCCAACUGAAAUUCCGGCCAUCUAGGUGUUAUAGGGUGUUUAGACAUCUUACAGCUAGCAUCACAUAUGGGAUAAGCAACAGAAUACUCAGCUUAGGGCCAAUGUCCUUAUAAAUUGAGCGGAGUUCUAAUAGGUGAAAGCUUUUUAUCUACGUAAUGAUUGUACGCUGCGAAACGAAGGUGGAGAAAAGAUAAAUUUGGUGGCAAUGUUAACGCGAUAACCAUUCCGCCUUGUGAGUACGGUUGCAAAGCUGAGAAUCAAAAAAUGUUAGUCGG
This 311-nucleotide ribosomal RNA is filed under the name Dendrothele nivosa. Its description in RNAcentral is "partial small subunit ribosomal RNA". The record is from RNAcentral. Lineage: Eukaryota; Fungi; Basidiomycota; Agaricomycetes; Agaricales.